AUUGAACGCUGGCGGCAGGCCUAACACAUGCAAGUCGAACGAGUGGCGGACGGGUGAGUAAUGUCUGGGAAACUGCCUGAUGGAGGGGGAUAACUACUGGAAACGGUAGCUAAUACCGCAUACCAUCGGAUGUGCCCAGAUGGGAUUAGCUAUUAGGUGGGGAAAAGGCUCACCUAGGCGACGAUCCCUAGCUGGUCUGAGAGGAGGACCAGCCAAACGGGAACUGAGACACGGUCCAGACUCCUACGGCAGGAAGCAGUGGGGAAGAUUGCACAAUGGGCGCAAGCCUGAUGCAGCAAUGCAGCGUGUAUGAAGAAGGCCUGCGGGUUGUAAAGUACUUUCAGCGGGGAGGCGUUACCAGCAGAAGAAGCACCGGCUAACUCCGUGCCAGCAGCCGCGGUAAUUC
Molecule: ribosomal RNA, 406 nt
Filed under: uncultured bacterium
Lineage: Bacteria
Description: partial 16S ribosomal RNA
Rfam family: Bacterial small subunit ribosomal RNA
Source: RNAcentral